RNAcentral lists this ribosomal RNA (449 nucleotides) under uncultured bacterium. RNAcentral's name for it is "bacterial SSU rRNA". It matches the Rfam family "Bacterial small subunit ribosomal RNA", at positions 64 to 507 of the family's 1533-position model. The record is from RNAcentral.
GAGCGGAUGACGGGAGCUUGCUCCUUGAUUCAGCGGCGGACGGGUGAGUAAUGCCUAGGAAUCUGCCUGGUAGUGGGGGACAACGUUUCGAAAGGAACGCUAAUACCGCAUACGUCCUACGGGAGAAAGCAGGGGACCUUCGGGCCUUGCGCUAUCAGAUGAGCCUAGGUCGGAUUAGCUAGUUGGUGGGGUAAUGGCUCACCAAGGCGACGAUCCGUAACUGGUCUGAGAGGAUGAUCAGUCACACUGGAACUGAGACACGGUCCAGACUCCUACGGGAGGCAGCAGUGGGGAAUAUUGGACAAUGGGCGAAAGCCUGAUCCAGCCAUGCCGCGUGUGUGAAGAAGGUCUUCGGAUUGUAAAGCACUUUAACUUGGGAGGAAGGGCAGUAAGCUAAUACCUUGCUGUUUUGACGUUACCGACAGAAUAAGCACCGGCUAACUACUGUG